This is a long non-coding RNA of Girardinichthys multiradiatus, 3369 nucleotides long. RefSeq lists it as uncharacterized. The transcript has 2 exons. Lineage: Eukaryota; Metazoa; Chordata; Actinopteri; Cyprinodontiformes; Goodeidae. The record is from RefSeq and is a predicted model, not a curated record.
UGGUACAAGCUCAAGCCACAAUUAAUCCUUGCCUUGUUCUUUGCUCUAUGUAACCUUCAUAUGCGCUCCUUCGCAGGCUGUUAACCUGUACAUUGGAUAACCCUUGCUGAUGCCAGACUUCGCUCUCUGCAUCGUUUUGCUUAAUUGGAUUACCAACUUCUGGAGAAAGGAUUCCUGUGGUCGUGGGUUAAGAUUCCUGUUUCCUUCAUCCGGACAAAGACCAACUGGCAGCUUCCUACUUCACCGACAUCCGUACCAAAGCAUAAGCGUAACCUGUUCACCCUCCAACAGCAGCAACGACAAACUAACCAACAGAUGGCUUCUAUGCUACAACACUCCCUAAGCACUCAGUCCUCCUCAAGUGUAAAUGACGCUAUAGCUUCUUCGGUCUCUCAGCAGCUUCCUCACUCUCGUGAUGUCAUUUCCCCUAACCCCGAAAUGUUUUCCGGAGAGGUGACGUUUCAUCAAUGACUAUAGUCUGACAGCCGCCCCCGUUACUGCAUUAACCUCCACAAAGGUUACAUUCUCCUGGACACCGGAAGCUGACAGCGCUUUCCGGGCUUUAAAGAAGAAGUUCUCUCAAGCUCCCAUCUUGGUGCACCCAGAUUCCUCUAAACAGUUUAUUUUGGAGGUUGAUGCUUCAGACAUUGGGGUCAGAGUGGUGCUGUCACAAAAUUCAGAAAAUGGAAGACUUCACCCUUGUGCUUUUUAUUUUUAUUUUUUUUUUCCCCCACGGACUAAGUUCCACAGAAAUAAAUCAUCAUGUGGGAGACAGAACUAUUGGCUAUCAAAUUAGCCUUAGAAGAAUGGCAUCACUGGCUUGAGGGUGCGGAGCAUCCCAUUUUGGACAGAUCAUAAAAACCUGGCCUACCUCCAGUGAGCCAAAAAAUUAAAUCCGUGUCAGUCCUGUUGGUCCUUGUUCUUUUCUCGUUUUGAUCUGUGCAUCUCUUUCAGACCUGGCCCCAAGAACACAAAACCUGAUGCUCUCUCCAGACAGUUCGCUGUAAAUGAUUCAGAGAAGGAACCAGCUCCCCUCCUGCCUCCAGUUGGAUGGUUGGGGCACUCAGGUGGGAGAUGGAGGACAUUAUAGCCAAGGCUCAGCAACACAAACCCGAUCCAGGCACGGGACCACCCAAUCGUACCUAUGUACCUUCUGGUGUUCGCUCUAAACUCAUCCAUUGGCUUCAUACAGCAAAGUUUUCAGCACAUCCUGGAGUAAGCAGAAUUACGUCAUUGGUACUGAGAAGAUUCUGGUGGCCAUCUGUACACAGAUGUGAGGGAAUUCGUUCAAGUCUGCACUUCAUGUGCCAGAAACAAGACUAACAAUCAACCACCCUCGGGUCUUCUCCUGCCUCUCAGCAUUCCUAACCAGCUUUGGUCCCACAUUGCUCUAGAUUUUGUAACUGGCCUUCCCCUCUCACAAGGUAUGACCACUGUACCCACAAUUAUAGAUCGCUUUUCUAAAGCGUGCCAUCUCGUUCCUCUUAGAAAGCUCCCGUCGGCACUUCAGACGGCCAGGCUCCUCACUAAGCAUGUUUCGACUGCGUGGGAUUCCACAGGACAUUCUAUCGGAUCGUGGGCCACAGUUCGUUUUUCAUGCGUGGAAACAAUGUUGUAUUGCCUUAGGAGCCAAAGUUUCUCUGACUUCAGGGUAUCACCCCCAAGCAAAUGGUCAAACAGAAAGGAUGAACCAGCAGCUGGAGUCCACUUUACGCUGUUUCACGUCCACUAAUCCCACUGAGUGGUGUUCUUACUUACCGUGGGUUGAGUAUGCUUUAAAUUCGCAUAUCUCUUCAGCUACAGGUCGCUCUCCCUUCGAAUCAUCCCUUGGUUAUCAACCACCUCUGUUUCCAGCUGAUGAGAAACAGAUAACGGUUUCCACAGUCCAUCAACAUGUCCGCCACUGCAAAUCCAUCUGGAACUCUACUAUCCAAGCCCUCCAGCGAACCACAGAACAAAAUAAGCAUUUUGCCGACCAUUUUCACUUGUUUAAGGAAAUAAACCUUCCUCAUUUAUCCAGUUUACGCUUCUGAGCGUUUCUCUGCAUGUGGGUCAGAACUAUUAUGAGCAAAAUGACAAGAUAGAUAAUAGUAGAAACUUUUCAAUGAAAUGGAAAGAAAUGGCGAGUAAUCAUUUUUAUAUGUGGACAGCCAAAAGUGGUCACUGACUUCUAAAGAUAAUGUAUUACCUUGCUUUUGUCUGCUACAUCUGUCAUACAAUAUAUCCCUUUACAUAUGGAGGAUGUCAAUACAUUUUCUUUUUGUUGAGCCUAUAAACAUACAUGGCAAAGAAAGAAUUUAAUUCACAUUAAAGCCUACCUUAAAUUUGCAAAACAAGCAGUGCUGCUGUCUGCACACACGCCAACGUCUGCAGAAUACCAAAGACGUGCCAGUGGAACAUCUUUGGUAUUCUGCACAGCUUCAAGCUCCAUGAGCUUACCUGUUUUGCUGACAGCUUGACCUUUUGCUAUAUAUUGCCCCAAUCAUGCUGCCCUAGAUACUGUAUUCAUCACACACAAGUUGUACUAUGUAGAAAAACAUACCAAACCACCUACCCCACAACCACUCAAUGCGCAAACACUACUAAUCCAAUCAGGUGGCCAGACAAAUGCCUACAUGUUCACCAUGGGAGAAUGCUUUAAUUGAUACGGAUUCCUCUGUGCUCUAAGUUGGCAUUUGGUAUGUGCUUCUUCUGUCUGGCUGUUUCAUAUAAUUUUUGUUCUUCUUGGUUUUUUCAACAAAUUCACUUUUUUUAUUAAAUCUCAUUAAUGUGUUUCAAGUCAGGUUCUUGAUCACACCAAUGUACUAAGGCUACACAGGUAAAUAUUUCAAAUCAUAUGUCUUAACAACAAUGUAUAGAACUUUGUCUCACUAUCAUUACAUCUCAGUGAUCUGUUAAACAUGGUUGAUUAUAACAUGCUUGAUGGGAGAAAUGAAUAGAUCUGUCUCCUACUGUGCUAUAUUAGUCCACAUCUCACUUGGCAGAUUGGGACUUAUUUGUGUCAUUUGUAAAUUAUGAAUCUGAGCUAACAAACAUCACAUGUGGGGUACAUCAAGGCUCCAUCUUUGAGUCACCUUUAUUCAGUUUCUUUCUGCACCACCUAGCUCAAUCAUAUUUACAUUUUUGCAUAUGCUGACGACACAACUUUGUUUCUUUCCCAUCAUUUGACCACUAUCUCUUACAGUUCUAAACUAUCCUUUCAUAACAUCAAUAAAAGAAUAGGUGAGAAUAAUUUUUUUUGUUUAGCUCUGCAAUAAAUGUACAGGAAAUGCUGGGAUGAACAGAAAAUGGCCUGGAAAUAUUAAUGUUUACUGCAGCUUUCCAUUAAGGCCAAAUAUUAUUUUAUUAGUUUAUUUUUUCAUUCUGUAU